GAUUUUUAUUCGUAUUAUUUUCCAGAUUUUUCUCAAAUGGAUUUUUAAAAAUUCAUAUUUCUAAAAGUAUUCAAUUUGAUAAGAAUCGGUCAACUGAUAUGAAUCCUCUGCCUCAGUUAUUGGCCGAAAAAUAUCGGCGAUGUUAAACUCCAUAAAAACUAAUUCAAUUAAUAUAUCUAAUUAUCUUCCGGAAUUUUUGACAUUUCAAACAAAUUUAUAAGCAGCCCUAAAUUUAAAUCUGCCAAUAUUUUUGAAAUUGGAAUAAUUUUAUAGCGAUAAACAUGCUAAUGGGGAUGAACAAAAAUACCAGCCUACCGGGAUUAUUGGAGCAUAAUGCCAGAUUUCCACGAUCAAUAUAUAGCCAAACUAAUGCUUGUAAAUAGGGUUGAAUGGCUGCUUAUCCAUACAAAUGAUAAUACUUUGACCUCUCAGAGCGAAUCUUUUGAUUUCGAUAAACAUGUCCGACCUUGUAAGACUAUGAUGCUGGCAGAAAUGAUAACUUAUGUGGCAGCUUAUUAGCAGAGCCCAGCUAUCCAACACCAUCUAAUAAAAACAAGUGCCUUUGAAGAUUAGGAGAUGUGACGCCUCACAUAGAAGAAGAUAUUCUCCUUGUUCAAUAGUUAUACUAGAACAUCGUUCUUAUUUGUGGCGCUAUAACUCUCUUAAAGUUGAAAUUGU
Molecule: long non-coding RNA, 678 nt
Organism: Gordionus sp. m RMFG-2023
Lineage: Eukaryota; Metazoa; Nematomorpha; Gordioida; Chordodea; Parachordodidae
Exons: 3
Source: RefSeq, a predicted model, not a curated record